Molecule: ribosomal RNA, 1059 nt
Filed under: uncultured bacterium
Lineage: Bacteria
Description: bacterial SSU rRNA
Rfam family: Bacterial small subunit ribosomal RNA
Source: RNAcentral
UACAUGCAAGUCGAGGGGUAGCAUGAUUGUAGCAAUACAAUUGAUGACGACCGGCAAACGGGUGCGGAACACGUACACAACCUUCCUACAAGUGGGGAAUAGCCCAGAGAAAUUUGGAUUAAUACCCCGUAACAUAGUGAUGUGGCAUCACAUUGCUAUUAUAGCUUCGGCGCUUGUUGAUGGGUGUGCGGCUGAUUAGAUAGUUGGCGGGGUAACGGCCCACCAAGUCUACGAUCAGUAGCUGAUGUGAGAGCAUGAUCAGCCACACGGGCACUGAGACACGGGCCCGACUCCUACGGGAGGCAGCAGUAAGGAAUAUUGGACAAUGGACGCAAGUCUGAUCCAGCCAUGCCGCGUGAAGGAUUAAGGUCCUCUGGAUUGUAAACUUCUUUUAUAAGGGACGAAAAAAGGUCUUUCUAGAUCGUCUGACGGUACCUUAUGAAUAAGCACCGGCUAACUCCGUGCCAGCAGCCGCGGUAAUACGGAGGGUGCAAGCGUUAUCCGGAUUCACUGGGUUUAAAGGGUGCGUAGGCGGGCAGGUAAGUCAGUGGUGAAAUCCUAGAGCUCAACUCUAGAACUGCCAUUGAUACUAUCUGUCUUGAAUAUUGUGGAGGUAAGCGGAAUAUGUCAUGUAGCGGUGAAAUGCUUAGAUAUGACAUAGAACACCUAUUGCGAAGGCAGCUUACUACGCAUAUAUUGACGCUGAGGCACGAAAGCGUGGGGAUCAAACAGGAUUAGAUACCCUGGUAGUCCACGCCCUAAACGAUGGAUACUCGACAUACGCGAUACACUGUGUGUGUCUGAGCGAAAGCAUUAAGUAUCCCACCUGGGAAGUACGUCCGCAAGGAUGAAACUCAAAGGAAUUGGCGGGGGUCCGCACAAGCGGUGGAGCAUGUGGUUUAAAUUCGAUGAUACGCGAAGGAACCUUUACCUGGGCUAGAAUGCAUUUUGACGCCAAGUGAAGCUGGGUUUUUGUAGCAAUACACAAUUUGUAAAGUGCUGCAUGGCUGUCGUCAGCUCGUGCGUGAGUGUUGGGUUAAGUCCCGCAACGAGCGCAAC